UGGGGAAUUUUGCGCAAUGGGGGAAACCCUGACGCAGCAACGCCGCGUGGAGGAUGAAGUAUCUUGGUACGUAAACUCCUUUCGAUGGGGAAGAUAAUGACGGUACCCAUAGAAGAAGCCCCGGCUAACUUCGUGCCAGCAGCCGCGGUAAUACGAGGGGGGCAAGCGUUGUUCGGAAUUAUUGGGCGUAAAGGGUGCGUAGGCGGUUUGAUAAGUCUCGUGUGAAAUCUCUGGGCUCAACCCAGAGUCUGCACGGGAAACUGUCGGGCUUGAGUAUGGGAGAGGUGAGUGGAAUUUCCGGUGUAGCGGUGAAAUGCGUAGAUAUCGGAAGGAACACCUGUGGCGAAAGCGGCUCACUGGACCAUAACUGACGCUGAUGCACGAAAGCUAGGGGAGCAAACA
Molecule: ribosomal RNA, 402 nt
Filed under: uncultured bacterium
Lineage: Bacteria
Description: bacterial SSU rRNA
Rfam family: Bacterial small subunit ribosomal RNA
Source: RNAcentral